This 178-nucleotide long non-coding RNA is filed under the name Carassius auratus (goldfish). RNAcentral describes it as "lncRNA (ENSCARG00000012426.1)". Lineage: Eukaryota; Metazoa; Chordata; Actinopteri; Cypriniformes; Cyprinidae. The record is from RNAcentral.
GUAACUUUUUUGUUGUCAUCGUCUUCAUUCGUCUCUUCUAACAUGCAAUAAUUCAUCCAGCUUUAAAAAUCUAAAUAGACUAAUUAAAAGCAGUAUUAUAUUGUGUUUUCAGUCUCUCAUGAUGCAGACAGACAUCUCGAUGUAUCAGAAUCAAAGACGAGCAGAUCAUCUGAGCACC